CCUACGGGUGGCAGCAGUGAGGAAUAUUGGUCAAUGGGCGAGAGCCUGAACCAGCCAAGUCGCGUGAAGGAUGACGGCCCUACGGGUUGUAAACUUCUUUUGUCAGGGAGCAAUUGAGUCCACGUGUGGGCUUAGCGAGAGUACCUGAAGAAAAAGCAUCGGCUAACUCCGUGCCAGCAGCCGCGGUAAUACGUAGGGGGCAAGCGUUAUCCGGAUUUACUGGGUGUAAAGGGAGCGUAGACGGUGCGCCAAGUCUGGAGUGAAAUGCCGCAGCUUAACUGCGGAACUGCUUUGGAAACUGGCGAACUAGAGUGCGGGAGGGGUAAGCGGAAUUCCUAGUGUAGCGGUGAAAUGCGUAGAUAUUAGGAGGAACACCGGUGGCGAAGGCGGCUUACUGGACCGUAACUGACGUUGAGGCUCGAAAGCGUGGGGAGCAAACAGGAUUAGAUACCCGAGUAGUC
RNAcentral lists this ribosomal RNA (461 nucleotides) under uncultured bacterium. RNAcentral's name for it is "partial 16S ribosomal RNA". It matches the Rfam family "Bacterial small subunit ribosomal RNA", at positions 338 to 795 of the family's 1533-position model. The record is from RNAcentral.